AAAAUAGCUCAGUUGGUAGAGCGACACCCUCGUAAAGUGUAGGUCAAGGGUUCGAUUCCCUUUUUUGG
RNAcentral lists this transfer RNA (68 nucleotides) under pig gut metagenome. It matches the Rfam family "tRNA". Rfam says of the family: Transfer RNA (tRNA) molecules are approximately 80 nucleotides in length. The record is from RNAcentral.